GAUGAACGCUGGCGGCGUGCUUAACACAUGCAAGUCGAACGGAAAGGCCCAAGCUUGCUUGGGUACUCGAGUGGCGAACGGGUGAGUAACACGUGGGUGAUCUGCCCUGCACUUCGGGAUAAGCCUGGGAAACUGGGUCUAAUACCGGAUAGGACCACUUCUUGGAUGUUGUGGUGGAAAGUUUUUUCGGUGUGGGAUGAGCUCGCGGCCUAUCAGCUUGUUGGUGGGGUAAUGGCCUACCAAGGCGUCGACGGGUAGCCGGCCUGAGAGGGUGUACGGCCACAGUGGGACUGAGAUACGGCCCAGACUCCUACGGGAGGCAGCAGUGGGGAAUAUUGCACAAUGGGCGCAAGCCUGAUGCAGCGACGCCGCGUGGGGGAUGACGGCCUUCGGGUUGUAAACGCCUUUCGCUAGGGACGAAGCGUUUUGUGACGGUACCUGGAGAAGAAGCACCGGCUAACUACGUG
Molecule: ribosomal RNA, 467 nt
Filed under: uncultured bacterium
Lineage: Bacteria
Description: partial 16S ribosomal RNA
Rfam family: Bacterial small subunit ribosomal RNA
Source: RNAcentral